CCAGGGCUUGACAUAAUAGUGAAUAUAGUAGAGAUACUAUAGUCCUUCGGGACGCUAUUACAGGUGGUGCAUGGUUGUCGUCAGCUCGUGUCGUGAGAUGUUGGGUUAAGUCCCGCAACGAGCGCAACCCCUGCUGUUAGUUGGUACCAUUUAGUUGACCACUCUAACGGGACUGCCGGUGACAAAUCGGAGGAAGGUGGGGACGACGUCCCAUCAUCAUGCCCCUUAUGUCCUGGGCUACACACGUACUACAAUGGCUAAUACAGAGGGAAGCAAGACCGUAAGGUGGAGCAAAUCCCUA
This 301-nucleotide ribosomal RNA is filed under the name uncultured bacterium. RNAcentral's name for it is "bacterial SSU rRNA". It matches the Rfam family "Bacterial small subunit ribosomal RNA", at positions 974 to 1277 of the family's 1533-position model. The record is from RNAcentral.